AGAGUUUGAUCCUGGCUCAGAACGAACGCUGGCGGCGUGGAUAAGACAUGCAAGUCGAGCGCGAAUUAUCGGGUAGCAAUAUCCGGUAGUUUGAGCGGCGCAAGGGUGCGUAACACGUGGGUAAUCUGCCAUGAAGUUUGGGAUAACUCGCUGAAAGGCGAGCUAAUACCGGAUGUGACAAUUGGGAGGCAUCUCCUGAUUUUCAAAGCUGGGGACCGUAAGGCCUGGCGCUUCUUGAUGAGCCCGCGGCCUAUCAGCUAGUUGGUGAGGUAACGGCUCACCAAGGCUAAGACGGGUAGCUGGUCUGAGAGGACGACCAGCCACACUGGAACUGAGACACGGUCCAGACACCUACGGGUGGCAGCAGUCGAGAAUUUUUCACAAUGGGCGCAAGCCUGAUGGAGCGACGCCGCGUGGGGGAUGAAUGGCUUCGGCCCGUAAACCCCUGUCAUUUGCGAUCAACCGUUAUUAUUUAAAAGAUGAUAACCUGAUAGUAGCGAAAGAGGAAGGGACGGCUAGCUCUGUGCCAGCAGCCGCGGUAAUACAGAGGUCCCAAGCGUUGUUCGGAUUCACUGGGCGUAAAGGGUGCGUAGGUGGUGGGGUAAGUCGGAUGUGAAAGCUCGGAGCUCAACUCCGAAAUGGCAUUGGAAACUACCCUGCUCGAGGAAUGGAGGGGGGACUGGAAUUCUCGGUGUAGCAGUGAAAUGCGUAGAUAUCGAGAGGAACACCAGUGGCGAAGGCGAGUCCCUGGACAUCUCCUGACACUGAGGCACGAAAGCUAGGGGAGCAAACAGGAUUAGAUACCCUAGUAGUCC
This 815-nucleotide ribosomal RNA is filed under the name uncultured bacterium. RNAcentral describes it as "bacterial SSU rRNA". It matches the Rfam family "Bacterial small subunit ribosomal RNA", at positions 8 to 796 of the family's 1533-position model. The record is from RNAcentral.